RNAcentral lists this ribosomal RNA (1187 nucleotides) under uncultured Serratia sp. RNAcentral's name for it is "bacterial SSU rRNA". It matches the Rfam family "Bacterial small subunit ribosomal RNA", at positions 24 to 1207 of the family's 1533-position model. Lineage: Bacteria; Pseudomonadati; Pseudomonadota; Gammaproteobacteria; Enterobacterales; Yersiniaceae. The record is from RNAcentral.
ACAGGGUAACGGUUAGAGCUUGACACGUGUGAGCCGGUAGCACAGGGGAGCGUUGCUCCCCGGGUGACGAGCGGCGGACGGGUGAGUAAUGUCUGGGAAACUGCCUGAUGGAGGGGGAUAACUACUGGAAACGGUAGCUAAUACCGCAUAACGUCGCAAGACCAAAGAGGGGGACCUUCGGGCCUCUUGCCAUCAGAUGUGCCCAGAUGGGAUUAGCUAGUAGGUGGGGUAAUGGCUCACCUAGGCGACGAUCCCUAGCUGGUCUGAGAGGAUGACCAGCCACACUGGAACUGAGACACGGUCCAGACUCCUACGGGAGGCAGCAGUGGGGAAUAUUGCACAAUGGGCGCAAGCCUGAUGCAGCCAUGCCGCGUGUGUGAAGAAGGCCUUCGGGUUGUAAAGCACUUUCAGCGAGGAGGAAGGUGGUGAACUUAAUACGUUCAUCAAUUGACGUUACUCGCAGAAGAAGCACCGGCUAACUCCGUGCCAGCAGCCGCGGUAAUACGGAGGGUGCAAGCGUUAAUCGGAAUUACUGGGCGUAAAGCGCACGCAGGCGGUUUGUUAAGUCAGAUGUGAAAUCCCCGGGCUCAACCUGGGAACUGCAUUUGAAACUGGCAAGCUAGAGUCUCGUAGAGGGGGGUAGAAUUCCAGGUGUAGCGGUGAAAUGCGUAGAGAUCUGGAGGAAUACCGGUGGCGAAGGCGGCCCCCUGGACGAAGACUGACGCUCAGGUGCGAAAGCGUGGGGAGCAAACAGGAUUAGAUACCCUGGUAGUCCACGCUGUAAACGAUGUCGAUUUGGAGGUUGUGCCCUUGAGGCGUGGCUUCCGGAGCUAACGCGUUAAAUCGACCGCCUGGGGAGUACGGCCGCAAGGUUAAAACUCAAAUGAAUUGACGGGGGCCCGCACAAGCGGUGGAGCAUGUGGUUUAAUUCGAUGCAACGCGAAGAACCUUACCUACUCUUGACUUCCAGAAACUUUCCAGAGAUGGAUUGGUGCCUUCGGGAACUCUUAGAACAGGUGCUGCAUGGCUGUCGUCACCUCCGGUUUGGAAAUGUUGGGUUAAUUCCCCAACAAAGGCACCCUUAUCCUUGUUUGCCGCCGGUUCCGCCCGGGAACCCAAAAAAAAAUUUCCCUUAUAAAAUUAAGAAAAGGGGGGGAAAAACACCAAACCCCCCGCGCCCCCCCCAA